Molecule: ribosomal RNA, 236 nt
Filed under: Salmonella enterica
Lineage: Bacteria; Pseudomonadati; Pseudomonadota; Gammaproteobacteria; Enterobacterales; Enterobacteriaceae
Also listed under: 3 other names
Description: partial 23S ribosomal RNA
Rfam family: Bacterial large subunit ribosomal RNA
Source: RNAcentral
AUACUCCUGACUGACCGAUAGUGAACCAGUACCGUGAGGGAAAGGCGAAAAGAACCCCGGCGAGGGGAGUGAAAAAGAACCUGAAACCGUGUACGUACAAGCAGUGGGAGCACAGGUUUACCUGUGUGACUGCGUACCUUUUGUAUAAUGGGUCAGCGACUUAUAUUCUGUAGCAAGGUUAACCGAAUAGGGGAGCCGGAGGGAAACCGAGUCUUAAUUGGGCGUUAAGUUGCAGG